CCUACGGGAGGCAGCAGUAAGGAAUAUUGGACAAUGCUCGCAAGAGUGAUCCAGCCAUGCCGCGUGCAGGAAGAAUGCCCUAUGGGUAGUAAACUGCUUUUGAACUAGAGAAAACCCCAGUACGUGUACUGGGCUGAUAGUAUAGUUAGAAUAAGCAUCGGCUAACUUCGUGCCAGCAGCCGCGGUAAGACGAAGGAUGCAAGCGUUAUCCGGAUUCAUUGGGUUUAAAGGGAGCGUAGGUGGACUGAUAAGUCAGUGGUGAAAUCUCCGAGCUUAACUCGGAAAUUGCCAUUGAUACUGUUGGUCUUGAGUACAGUUGCUGUGGGCGGAAUAUGACAUGUAGUGGUGAAAUACAUAGAGAUGUCAUAGAACACCGAUUGCGAAGGCAGCUCACAAAGCUGUAACUGACACUGAGGCUCGAAAGUGCGGGGAUCAAACAGGAUUAGAUACCCUGGUAGUCCGCACCGUAACGAUGAUUACUCGCUGNGNGGGCGACGUUAGUGUCGUAGACGAAGACGAGUAAGUAAUACACCGACGGAGGACGCCGGCGACGGAGAACGACGAAGAAGUAGACGGACGNGGAGACGNGCGACGGACGACGACGAGGGGAGGUUAGG
This 617-nucleotide ribosomal RNA is filed under the name uncultured bacterium. RNAcentral's name for it is "bacterial SSU rRNA". It matches the Rfam family "Bacterial small subunit ribosomal RNA", at positions 338 to 961 of the family's 1533-position model. The record is from RNAcentral.